RNAcentral lists this ribosomal RNA (253 nucleotides) under uncultured bacterium. Its description in RNAcentral is "partial 16S ribosomal RNA". It matches the Rfam family "Bacterial small subunit ribosomal RNA", at positions 524 to 776 of the family's 1533-position model. The record is from RNAcentral.
UACGUAGGCAGCGAGCGUUGUUCGGAGUUACUGGGCGUAAAGGGCGUGUAGGCGGCCUUGCAAGUCAGGCGUGAAAUCCCUGGGCUCAACCCAGGAAUUGCACUUGAAACUGCAAGCCUUGAGUGUCGGAGAGGAAAGUGGAAUUCCUGGUGUAGAGGUGAAAUUCGUAGAUAUCAGGAGGAACACCGGUGGCGAAGGCGGCUUUCUGGACGACAACUGACGCUGAGACGCGAAAGCGUGGGGAGCAAACAGG